UGGUCGAAGAAAAGAUGUGGAGCGGACUGCUGCCUCCUGGUCUAAAGGAGAGUGAUACUGAGUUGGAUUCUGAAGAGGAGCCCACACUACAGAACAGUGAUCAUAACUUACAGGAAGACAAAGAGGAUGGGACCACUAGAGAAACAAAUCUCAGGUUUCUCAGAAGAUGAACCAAAAACUGAAACAGAGACUAAAACCAAUGCAUAUGAAGAGUGCCCUUCUGGAAUUCCCUUAAAUGUGUGGAACAAAUUUCAAGAACUGCAUAAAAAACGUUCUGAACAGAAAAUUUCAGCCUCAAGAUUCAGAAGGAGAAAGAGAAAACACUCCAAAAAAGAUAAACUGCCGAAUGAAAAAGAGUCUCAGAGUCAGCAGUCCGUGAGUGAGACCCAAUGGAAGGAGCUUACUCAGUACUUUGGAGCCAAUGAUAGAUUUGAACCCCCUGUUAAAAAGAAAAAGGUUGAAAAGUCAGGCCUUGAGAAGAGGAUAGACCAGGCUGUGGAGGAGUGGGACGUGGAGAAGGCCGAGGAGCUUAGCAACCAGCUUGCUAGUGGCGAGCUUGGUGUAAAAAUUGCCAAAGCAAUUGCCUGCCACAAGUUUGUAAAAGCCAAAAAGGAGAUUGAAAACUCACAGGCUGCUCAAAAAAAGAAGAAAUUUGCGUGGGGGUUUGAAGCAAAGAAGAGAUGGGAAACCAAAAGCAACAUGGGAUAUAUGUAACUGGGCAGAACUCUUUAGGACACAGGGAGACUUGUGUGCUUCAUUUAUAGAAAAGACUUUUCUGUGUAGGUUAAAUAUAUCAGGAAAUUGAUAGAAGUAGAAAGAAAUAAGCAUAAAUCUUGGGAGUUAUCAGCUCUUCAGUUUUUUUCCUAAGGAUUUCAUUCUAUUGAAAUAACUGGAAUGAAGUAUUUGAUAUUUUGUAUAAAAUCUAAGCAUACAUACAGGCAAAGAAGAUAGGAUGUUAUUUAUUUGUACAGAUUUAUGGUAUAAAAUCAAUGUUGCCUUUUAUCUGUUUGGUAUAGCACAGCUGUGAUCCUUGUACUUUCUUAUCUGAUCUUGGCAUAACUGCACUUUCCUGGAAUUAAUGUUUUUAAGAUUAGUUUUUGUUUAAAAUGGAUUAGUCAUAGGUGCAAAAAUGUCUCAGUUGAUGUU
Octodon degus (degu) is the source of this 1146-nucleotide RNA transcript. It is a transcript of the gene named protein FAM204A pseudogene, with no coding region annotated. The record is from RefSeq and is a predicted model, not a curated record. The transcript has a single exon. Lineage: Eukaryota; Metazoa; Chordata; Mammalia; Rodentia; Octodontidae.